ACAUGCCACUAACGAAGCAGAGAUGCAUUAGGUGCCCGUAAGGGAAAGUGGACACAGGUGCUGCAUGGCUGUCGUCAGCUCGUGUCGUGAGAUGUUGGGUUAACGUCCGCAACGAGCGCAACCCUUGCCAUUAAUUGCCAUCAUUUAGUUGGGCACUUUAAUGGGACUGCCGGUGACAAACCGGAGGAAGGUGGGGAUGACGUCAAGUCCUCAUGGCCCUUAUGGCCAGGGCUUCACACGUAAUACAAUGGUCGGUACAGAGAGUUGCCAAGCCGCGAGGUGGAGCUAAUCUCAGAAAGCCGAUCGUAGUCCGGAUUGUUCUCUGCAACUCGAGAGCAUGAAGUCGGAAUCGCUAGUAAUCGCGGAUCAGCAUGUCGCGGUGAAUACGUUCCCGGGCCUUGUACACACCGCCCGUCACACCAUGGGAGUGGGUUUUACCAGAAGUAGUUAGUCUAACCGUAAGGGGGACGAUUACCACGGUAGUAUUCAUGACUGGGGUGAAGUCGUAACAAGGUAAGCGUAGUGCU
RNAcentral lists this ribosomal RNA (527 nucleotides) under uncultured bacterium. RNAcentral describes it as "bacterial SSU rRNA". It matches the Rfam family "Bacterial small subunit ribosomal RNA", at positions 984 to 1509 of the family's 1533-position model. The record is from RNAcentral.